GAUGAAGAACGCAGCGAAAUGCGAUAAUUAAUGUGAAUUGCAGAAUUCCGUGAAUCAUCGAGUCUUUGAACGCACAUUGCGCCUCAUGGCAUUCCGUGAGGCAGGCCCAUCUCAGCGUUAGAAAAUAUUCUCAAAUUUUAGUUUUGUGCUAAAAUUUGGAUCAUGUCAAAGAAGCUAUUACUAUUAUUGUGAUCGCUCUUUGGAAAUUGAUAGGUCUUUGAGUUGCUACUCAUAGAACGUGAUGAAUCUUUCUUCGUUCUAUUGUAAUUCACUCUGGUAGUCCUAAAACUUGUAUGCCUGUGGCAUAUCUUGUAAUUUGACCUGAGAUUGGGUAGGGAUACCCGCUGAACUUAAGCAUAUCAAUAAGCGGAGGA
Molecule: unclassified non-coding RNA, 374 nt
Filed under: soil metagenome
Description: partial contains internal transcribed spacer 2 and large subunit ribosomal RNA
Rfam family: 5.8S ribosomal RNA (bases 1-120)
Source: RNAcentral